Molecule: long non-coding RNA, 284 nt
Organism: Ooceraea biroi (clonal raider ant)
Lineage: Eukaryota; Metazoa; Arthropoda; Insecta; Hymenoptera; Formicidae
Source: RefSeq, a predicted model, not a curated record
ACAAAGGCAGUACUCUCGCCACCACCUCGUCUCCAAGUUGGUAUCCACUGGUUCCGAGAUUUCCAGAACUUCUGCAUUGCCUGCAAUCGGAGAUUGCUCCAUGGUUUUGGUAAUCCAGAACUGAUCGUGUUAUCUGGGAACACACGCACUCCGCCCGCACCAAGACCGAGAGUGAUAUAAAACUAUUACAAAAAAAGUAACAAAUCUUUAAUAUGUAUUGAAACACACAUCUUGCAUAUCAAUUUUACAUUUAGCAACACUAUAAAAUAUCUUACUAACAAUAA